UGAGGGUCUCCCCCAGAUCUCAGCGCCAUCUUGUUACACAAGGUAGUUAGUCGAGGUUAUAAGGAGGGAGGGGUUAGAAACUUCUAGCAGCCAUUUUGUCUAAAUAUGCGUGAAUAGCUUAUCUACUGAUUUCAGUGCAAUGGGUAAAUAGACAUUUUACUAACUACAAAGAUAUAUGUGUAUAUAUUCAUAUUUUAUUUCCACAACAGUCCCCCCUUAAAAUGGAUAUUUACCAUAACAACUGC
Non-coding RNA from Pelobates cultripes (western spadefoot toad), 245 nucleotides. NCBI's taxonomy places the organism in Eukaryota, Metazoa, Chordata, Amphibia, Anura, Pelobatidae. The record is from the annotation of a GenBank genome assembly.